AUCGCUGUUCGUGAGUUAGGGUGGCUCUUAGAAUAGAAGAGGUGUGUAGGUGGGUCGCGAGGUGGCUGGUCGUGGUGGUCUGGAGGAGAGCGCGGAGACGGUGUCCGGGUCGGUCGGGAGCGCGCGUCCGGUCGGCGGUCGGUCCUCGAGUACGUGUUCGGUCGGCGCGACGUGUUGCGACGGCGGGCAUGCGGCGGCGGUCGUGGUUGGUGUGGCCUCGUUCCUCGAGGGGAGCGGGGGCCCCGGACGGAGGGCAGACCGCUGGCCGGCGACCUCGUAGUGUGGGCGCGGUACCUGGAGGCUGGGGCUGCGGGUUCGAGGGCUACGACAAGUUGCGGUCUAGGCGCGGUGGGGUGGAAGAGGCUGGCACAGCCCUCGGUGGCAGUCCUCGUGGGCGCUGCAGGUUGGCGGUCCAGGGCGAGCUAUGGUCGCGGUGUGGAGGUGGCAUCCGGUGCUGCCAGCGGGGAUGAAGCGAGGUCGCCGGGUGCUGAGACAAGACGAAGGGGCUCCCUUCCCGCUAAUGACAGCAUGCCGAGCAGGGCCGCGGGGGGCAAACAAGGUCGGCGUGGGUGCCCCUAGGCAAGGAGAAGGGGUUCCCACCGGACUAGAGAGAGAAUAAGAGAACUAGUCGGUAGAGACGAAUUCGGCGAGAGAGUAGAGUAGAACGAAACAAUAAGCCGAACAACUAACAGAUGAAAGCUUGUAUAUAUUUAAACAUCCUAAGCUAAGCUAUGUUUCGACGCUCCACCCUGAUUAUCAAUUAAAUUUCUGACGCCUUCGACACCCCCUCCUGACUACGUGGCCGCCGCGCGUUGCCGCACCCCCACCCGGCCGCUGUGUGCCGCCGCGCACCACACCGGCCGCCGUCCUCCACCUCUACCGUAACCCAAAAAAUCCCCUAACCCUCCAUCCCUGCACGCCCAGACACCCAAUAAAGAAAAAAAGAGAACAGUCAUGGCGAAACCCAACUCAAUAUUAUCAUGACGCCCAACUUAUGGGUUUUGUCGUCCCCCAAAAGACAUUUUUACGGCUGCUGCAUGCUGUCUUUG
This 1049-nucleotide ribosomal RNA is filed under the name Triticum aestivum (bread wheat). RNAcentral's name for it is "partial small subunit ribosomal RNA". Lineage: Eukaryota; Viridiplantae; Streptophyta; Magnoliopsida; Poales; Poaceae. The record is from RNAcentral.